This 454-nucleotide ribosomal RNA is filed under the name uncultured bacterium. RNAcentral describes it as "partial 16S ribosomal RNA". It matches the Rfam family "Bacterial small subunit ribosomal RNA", at positions 28 to 507 of the family's 1533-position model. The record is from RNAcentral.
GAUGAACGCUGACAGAAUGCUUAACACAUGCAAGUCAACUUGAACUUCGGUUUGGGUGGCGGACGGGUGAGUAACGCGUAAAGAACUUGCCUCACAGAUAGGGACAACAUUUGGAAACGAAUGCUAAUACCUGAUAUUAUGAUUAUAUGGCAUCGUAUAAUUAUGAAAGCUAUAUGCGCUGUGAGAGAGCUUUGCGUCCCAUUAGCUAGUUGGAGAGGUAACGGCUCACCAAGGCGAUGAUGGGUAGCCGGCCUGAGAGGGUGAUCGGCCACAAGGGGACUGAGACACGGCCCUUACUCCUACGGGAGGCAGCAGUGGGGAAUAUUGGACAAGGGACCAAGAGUCUGAUCCAGCAAUUCUGUGUGCACGAUGAAGUUUUUCGGAAUGUAAAGUGCUUUCAGUUGGGAAGAAAAAAAUGACGGUACCAACAGAAGAAGGGACGGCUAAAUACGUG